GCUAUCGUAGCAUAAUCUGGUUUUGCCAAAGACCUAAACUCUUUUUAUAGAAGUUCAAAUCUUCUCGCUAGCU
This 73-nucleotide transfer RNA is filed under the name Hyloxalus vertebralis (Boulenger's rocket frog). RNAcentral's name for it is "tRNA-Leu". It matches the Rfam family "tRNA". From Rfam's summary of the family: Transfer RNA (tRNA) molecules are approximately 80 nucleotides in length. Their secondary structure includes four short double-helical elements and three loops (D, anti-codon, and T loops). Lineage: Eukaryota; Metazoa; Chordata; Amphibia; Anura; Dendrobatidae. The record is from RNAcentral.